ACUAAUAAAUAUAAUAUUUUUAUAUAUUUAUUAUUGUAUUAUACUAUAAAUAUAAUAUUAUAUUACAUUAUAUCGUAAUACAUUGAUAUGUUAUGUUAAAUAAUUUAAUAUUAUAUUAAAUUAUUAUUCUAUAAUACAUAAUGUUAUAGCACUAUAUUAUAAUAAUAUUAUAUUACAUUACAUUAAUAUUAUACUAUAUCGUAUAUUUAUGUAUUAAUAUAUAUUAUAUUUUAUUAUGAUCUGUUAUAUAAUAAUAGUAAUGUCCUUUAUGGUUAUUUUGUCACACAAAAGUACUUUCUCAAUUUGUUUACCAAACAUAUGUUAAAGUGCCACAACACUUUAGAAAUGUAGUUACGAAACAGUAAACAGUUUUUUAUAAACGCUCUACUUCAGACAGCUCUACUUCCAACAGCUCUACUUCCAAAAGCUCUACUACUAACA
This 441-nucleotide long non-coding RNA is filed under the name Phoenix dactylifera (date palm). Its description in RNAcentral is "long non-coding RNA (PDAC_LNC021261)". Lineage: Eukaryota; Viridiplantae; Streptophyta; Magnoliopsida; Arecales; Arecaceae. The record is from RNAcentral.